Molecule: ribosomal RNA, 253 nt
Filed under: uncultured bacterium
Lineage: Bacteria
Description: partial 16S ribosomal RNA
Rfam family: Bacterial small subunit ribosomal RNA
Source: RNAcentral
UACGGAGGGGGCUAGCGUUGUUCGGAAUUAUUGGGCGUAAAGCGCGCGCAGGCGGUUUCUUAAGUCUGAUGUGAAAGCCCACGGCUCAACCGUGGAGGGUCAUUGGAAACUGGGGAACUUGAGUGCAGAAGAGAAAAGCGGAAUUCCACGUGUAGCGGUGAAAUGCGUAGAGAUGUGGAGGAACACCAGUGGCGAAGGCGGCUUUUUGGUCUGUAACUGACACUGAGGCGCGAAAGCGUGGGGAGCAAACAGG